This is a long non-coding RNA of Mangifera indica (mango), 318 nucleotides long. RefSeq lists it as uncharacterized. The record is from RefSeq and is a predicted model, not a curated record. Lineage: Eukaryota; Viridiplantae; Streptophyta; Magnoliopsida; Sapindales; Anacardiaceae. The transcript is spliced from 2 exons.
UGAGUAGAUUGGUUUUGAAUGCAAAUCAAAACCGAAAGACGAACACCAACCCUAUGUAAAACAGGGCGUAUUAUAGAACUAUUAUUUUUAUUCUUAUUCACUGCGUAUCCAACUCACUACCCACCAUACUCCCUCGCCAAUCAGAGCCGUUGAUCGAUUUUAUGAUCAGAAAACACAAUGUCAAAUGCUGUUCAACAACAGAGACUUGUUUUGGAAAGUCAUAGGUACAACGUUUUAUGAUUGAAGUUUUCUAUUUUAUUAGAUGGUUAGAGUUGUCUUAAAGUUAAUUAUUUUAAUUAAUAUUAUCUAAUUAUUUUA